Molecule: long non-coding RNA, 901 nt
Organism: Octopus bimaculoides (California two-spot octopus)
Lineage: Eukaryota; Metazoa; Mollusca; Cephalopoda; Octopoda; Octopodidae
Source: RefSeq, a predicted model, not a curated record
CAAAGGACUUAACUUUGUUCUUUCACUCUGGAACCUGCUUCUUGACAAUAAGCUUCAAUUCAUGUUGUCUAUUUUUGGAAACUCUACUGAUUCUCAUCUUGUCAUCAACGUUUGUCUUUGGAUACUGGCUGCAGUUGCUACUGCUGUGGAUACUACUACUACUACUACUGCUACUACGUUCGUCACCAAUGACACUAUCAGCAGCAGCAGCACUACUACUACUACUACUACUACUACUACUGUGUUGUUCUUGUUUCUGUUGUGGCCACCAUGAGGGCCUCUUGGUAUGCAGAAACAAACUGGACACUGGAGAAAACUCUCAACAUGGCAAGAUUUACUGCAUUGCACUACCACCACCACCACCACCAUCACCCAUACUGCAUCUUGGAGUUUUAAACCUUGUUGUAAGACAUGGUGCUGGUGCAGAUUGGAUUGUACCUCAUUGUAUUUAGCAGUCUACUUACAUGCCAUUGACCAACUCAAAUCAGGGCUGAUCAGGAUUAUUCUGCAAAAGCCACUACUACUACUACUACUACUACUAUGAAGAAAGACAUGAAGAUGACCAAAAAGAAGAAAAGGAAAAUGAAGACGAAACAGGUGUCACACUCACAAAAGGAGUACAUUUGAUUUACAGUGUUGAUGGAAUAUAUCUGGAAAUGGUAGCUGAGUACUGCCACAGAAAUGUACAUGGAAAGGGAAGUCUUCAGAAACAGAAUAUUUGGUGCAGAGUCUUUCCUCACUAUGCAUGGCAUAGAUUUUCAAACACCGAAAUUACAGCACCAAGGGUGUCUUCUGCAAUAAAAAACCUCUGCUUUGUUCCCUUCUUGAAUUACUACCGUGCAAAAUAUUCAAUCUCAAGGAAACAAGUCUUCAAGUGAACUCCUAUAUACAUCUCCGCAGU